AGUAAAUAGAUACCCCCGGUAGUCCACGCCGUAAACGAUGUCGACUUGGAGGUUGUGCCUCUGAGGCGUGGCUUCCGGAAGCUAAACGCGUUAAGUCGACCGCCUGGGGAGUACGGCCGCAAGGUUAAAACUCAAAUGAAUUGACGGGGGCCCGCACAAGCGGUGGAGCAUGUGGUUUAAUUCGAUGCAACGCGAAGAACCUUACCUACUCUUGACAUCCAGAGAACUUUCCAGAGAUGGAUUGGUGCCUUCGGGAACUCUGAGACAGGUGCUGCAUGGCUGUCGUCAGCUCGUGUUGUG
RNAcentral lists this ribosomal RNA (300 nucleotides) under uncultured bacterium. Its description in RNAcentral is "bacterial SSU rRNA". It matches the Rfam family "Bacterial small subunit ribosomal RNA", at positions 775 to 1069 of the family's 1533-position model. The record is from RNAcentral.